Molecule: ribosomal RNA, 441 nt
Filed under: uncultured bacterium
Lineage: Bacteria
Description: partial 16S ribosomal RNA
Rfam family: Bacterial small subunit ribosomal RNA
Source: RNAcentral
CCUACGGGGAGCAGCAGUGGGGGAUAUUGCACAAUGGGGGCAACCCUGAUGCAGCGACGCCGCGUGAGCGAUGGAGUACUUCGGUAUGUAAAGCUCUGUCAGCAGGGAAGAGAAUGACGGUACCUGACCAAGAAGCCCCGGCUAAAUACGUGCCAGCAGCCGCGGUAAUACGUAUGGGGCAAGCGUUAUCCGGAUUUACUGGGUGGAAAGGGAGCGUAGGCGGCAGGGCAAGCCUGAUGUGAAAGCCCGGGGCUCAACCCCGGGACUGCAUUGGGAACUGCCCCGCGCGAGUGCCGGAGGGGCAGGCGGAAGUCCUAGUGUAGCGGUGAAAUGCGUAGAUAUUAGGAGGAACACCAGUGGCGAAGGCGGCCUGCUGGACGGUGUACUGACGCUGAGGCUCGAAAGCGUGGGGAGCAAACAGGAUUAGAUACCCGUGUAGUC